GCGGCAAUGUAUGGAGUAUAUGUGUGUACAACAUUUACUAUGAGAGUAAAAGUAAUAAUCGACUGCGAGUGAUAGUACUAGAGCCAGAAAUCGCAGCGGCUGCUACCUGCGUGAGAUCAAACCAUUACUUGUUCCUACUGUCGGUGUCAUUUCUAGUUCCACUAACAGAGGAAAAUGAUCUAAAACAAAAAUAAAAUACACCAGUAAAGUCACUUCAAAUACAGAUUUCAUUGACAAGUAAUUUAAGAUCAAUAUAACAUACCAGAUGGUACGUGAGGAUGAGGACAUCCUACCACUUUAUGCUCUUUAAACCACUCUGGACUCAAUGGACCUAAGAGGCCUAAUGGCAGAUGCAAGCUUGAACGAAUGAGUAAAUUCGUUAGGUUUGUCGCAGCCAGAGAUCUUUUGUAAACAUGAUUUGUACGCUAAGUCUUUAAAAUCACGAUGAUCAGCCGCCACACGUCCAGAUGUAAGGAAUUAAAGUCGCCACAAAGUAACAGUUGAACGUUGGAAGAGUCAGGUUUGUGACCGGGUCUGAAUGACUGGCCAGCUUG
Pseudomyrmex gracilis is the source of this 554-nucleotide long non-coding RNA. RefSeq lists it as uncharacterized. The transcript is spliced from 4 exons. Lineage: Eukaryota; Metazoa; Arthropoda; Insecta; Hymenoptera; Formicidae. The record is from RefSeq and is a predicted model, not a curated record.